Molecule: non-coding RNA, 78 nt
Organism: Schistosoma mansoni
Lineage: Eukaryota; Metazoa; Platyhelminthes; Trematoda; Strigeidida; Schistosomatidae
Source: Rfam
AGCUUUCUGAAUCCGUGAACAGAUUUCGUCAGACAUCAACUUAUUAGGACUGGUCAGACUUUCAAGAUAAGUGAAGUU